Molecule: ribosomal RNA, 253 nt
Filed under: uncultured bacterium
Lineage: Bacteria
Description: partial 16S ribosomal RNA
Rfam family: Bacterial small subunit ribosomal RNA
Source: RNAcentral
UACGUAGGGUGCGAGCGUUAAUCGGAAUUACUGGGCGUAAAGCGUGCGCAGGCGGUUCGUUAAGUUCGUUGUGAAAGCCCCGGGCUCAACCUGGGAAUGGCAAUGGAAACUGGCGGGCUUGAGUGCGGCAGAGGGGGGUGGAAUUCCGCGUGUAGCAGUGAAAUGCGUAGAGAUGCGGAGGAACACCGAUGGCGAAGGCAGCCCCCUGGGCCGACACUGACGCUCAGGCACGAAAGCGUGGGGAGCAAACAGG